RNAcentral lists this ribosomal RNA (486 nucleotides) under uncultured bacterium. Its description in RNAcentral is "partial 16S ribosomal RNA". It matches the Rfam family "Bacterial small subunit ribosomal RNA", at positions 28 to 507 of the family's 1533-position model. The record is from RNAcentral.
GACGAACGCUGGCGGCGUGCUUAACACAUGCAAGUCGAACGCUGAAGACCUGGCUUUUGUUGGGUUGGAUGUGUGGCGAACGGGUGAGUAACACGUGAGUAACCUGCCCUCUUCUUUGGGAUAACGCCCGGAAACGGGUGCUAAUACUGGAUAUUCACUGGCCUUCGCAUGGGGGUUGGUGGAAAGGUUUGUUCUGGUGGGGGAUAGGCUCGCGGCCUAUAAGCUUGUUGGUGGGGUGAUGGCCUACCAAGGCAUUGACGGGUAGCCGGCCUGAGCUUGCGACCGGUCACAUUAGGACUAAGAUACGGCCCAGACACCUACGGGAGGCAGCAGUGGGGAAUAUUGCACAAUGUGCGAAAGCCUGAUGCAGCGACGCCGCGUGAGGAAUGGAGGCCUUGGGGUUGUAAACCUCGUUCGCUCAUGGUCAAGCCGCAACUGUGGGUUGUGGUGAGGGUAGUGUGUAAAGAAGCGCCGGCUAACUACGUG